AGAGUUUGAUCCUGGCUCAGGAUGAACGCUAGCGACAGGCCUAACACAUGCAAGUCGAGGGGCAUCGGGACGUAGCAAUACGUUGCCGGCGACCGGCGGAUGGGUGAGUAACGCGUAUGCAACCUACCCGUAGCAGGGGGAUAGCCCGUUGAAAGACGGAUUAAUACCCCGUAACACAGGGGCUCCGCAUGGAGAUUAUUGUUAAAGGGUCAUUUCUUUUAGAGGUGGUCCGGCUGCGGAUGGGCAUGCGUUCCAUUAGGUAGUUGGUGUAGGUAACGGCUCACCAAGCCGACGAUGGAUAGGGGAACUGAGAGGUUGGUCCCCCACACUGGUACUGAGACACGGACCAGACUCCUACGGGAGGCAGCAGUGAGGAAUUUUGGUCAAUGGACGCAAGUCUGAACCAGCCAUGUCGCGUGAAGGAGGACGGCCCUAAGGGUUGUAAACUUCUUUUGCAGUGGAAUAAAGUUUGCCACGUGUUGGCGAUUUGCAAGUACGCUGCGAAUAAGGAUCGGCUAACUCCGUGCCAGCAGCCGCGGUAAUACGGAGGAUCCAGGCGUUAUCCGGAUUUAUUGGGUUUAAAGGGUGCGCAGGCGGGGAAUUAGGUCGGCGGUGAAAUUUCGGGGCUCAACCUCGACAGUGCCGUUGAAACCGUUUCUCUUGAGUGCGGAUGAGGUAGGCGGAAUUUGUGGUGUAGCGGUGAAAUGCGUAGAUAUCACAAGGAACACCGAUUGCGGAGGCAGCUUACUAAACCGUUACUGACGCUCAUGCACGAAGGCGUGGGGAUCAAACAGGAUUAGAUACCCUGGUAGUCCACGCAGUAAACGAUGAUUACUUGCUGUUUGCGAUACACAGUAAGCGGCGAAGCGAAAGCGUUAAGUAAUCCACCUGGGGAGUACGUUCGCAAGAAUGAAACUCAAAGGAAUUGACGGGGCCCGCACAAGCGGAGGAACAUG
RNAcentral lists this ribosomal RNA (956 nucleotides) under uncultured bacterium. Its description in RNAcentral is "bacterial SSU rRNA". It matches the Rfam family "Bacterial small subunit ribosomal RNA", at positions 8 to 941 of the family's 1533-position model. The record is from RNAcentral.